GCCAGAUUGUUGUUGUUGUUGAUAAAUUGUGACCCCUUGUUGUGUUUUUGUAGAAGGUUACCCAAGGAAGCUUCCUGUAAAGUUUCAUUGAAUUUUGACUGGAAGUUGGCCAUUUUGUUGUUUUUGUUGUUGUUGUUGAUCAAUCGUGACCCCUUAUUGUAUUUUUGUAGAGGGUCACCCAAGGAAGCUUCCUGUAAAAUUUCAUUGAAUUUGGAGUGUUAGUUUCAGAGGAGAUGUUUUUUU
Mya arenaria is the source of this 243-nucleotide long non-coding RNA. RefSeq lists it as uncharacterized. The transcript has 2 exons. NCBI's taxonomy places the organism in Eukaryota, Metazoa, Mollusca, Bivalvia, Myida, Myidae. The record is from RefSeq and is a predicted model, not a curated record.